This 221-nucleotide ribosomal RNA is filed under the name uncultured bacterium. Its description in RNAcentral is "partial 16S ribosomal RNA". It matches the Rfam family "Bacterial small subunit ribosomal RNA", at positions 113 to 334 of the family's 1533-position model. The record is from RNAcentral.
CGACGUGGGUAACCUGCCUCACACAGGGGGAUAGCAGUUGGAAACGGCUGAUAAUACCGCAUAAGCGCACAGUACCGCAUGGUACAGUGUGAAGAACUCCGGUGGUGUGAGAUGGACCCGCGUCUGAUUAGCUAGUUGGCAGGGUAACGGCCUACCAAGGCAACGAUCAGUAGCCGACCUGAGAGGGUGACCGGCCACAUUGGGACUGAGACACGGCCCAG